AUGAUCUCCCACGCCAUGUUUUUCAGAUCCGCCACCAUCGGAUCCAUCUUACCAACUACAGCUUUUUGUGGUCGCCGGAGCACCACUCUUCCCUUUCUCGCUUUCUCUGUAAUGGCAAGCCAUCUUCGUUUGAGGUCGUCCACAUCCAGUAGUGAGAUGUGGUUCCCCGGAUUCCUCGCCUCAACAGCGCACUCUCCCUCUGGGUUGCCGCUCCCCCUCUCCAAGGCACUCCCGGCGUCAAGCUCCGCCGAGGCCAUCUCCGCCGCUGGGGGCAUCUCCGCCGCCGUAGGCGCCUCUCCCCUAAUUUCGUCUCUCCCCUAA
This 321-nucleotide ribosomal RNA is filed under the name Triticum aestivum (bread wheat). RNAcentral's name for it is "partial small subunit ribosomal RNA". Lineage: Eukaryota; Viridiplantae; Streptophyta; Magnoliopsida; Poales; Poaceae. The record is from RNAcentral.